CUACUCAAUUUAGCAUCACAUAUGCUAAAAUUGGAACAGUAAAGAGAAUUAGUGUGGUCCUUGUGUAAGAAUGACAUGCAAAUUUCUGAUAUUUACUGCCAAGCUUA
This 107-nucleotide small nuclear RNA is filed under the name Meriones unguiculatus (Mongolian gerbil). Lineage: Eukaryota; Metazoa; Chordata; Mammalia; Rodentia; Muridae. The record is from RNAcentral.